UGUUCGUUUGCUUGCAAUGGAAAUAAACCGAAGAAACUUUAUGUUUUUGUCUGGACAAUGGACUUAUUUUCCCUGCGUAAAUAAUUCCAUAUAGGUGCCUCAGACGUUUGAUUUUAUUUUGAUAAUUUUAUUUAUUUAUUUAUUUGAUAAUUCAGCUCAGGACAAACAGCAGAUUACAAAUGAUAAAUUCUUACCUCCAGUGUUGUUUCAGAGGCUGCUGGGUGGCUGAUGUUCACAGUGUGAUGUGCUCCAAACACCUACAGAUCUGUGUCACCAAGACUUUUAAUGCAUCAUUCACUAGUGGAGACCUUCCUGCAGCUUACAAAUCUACAUUAAUAAGGCUGACGGUGGCAGCAGGCGAAGCAAGUCCAGCUCUUCCUGGUGGAUCCCAAGACUAUAUGAGAUAUGUA
Molecule: long non-coding RNA, 410 nt
Organism: Stegastes partitus (bicolor damselfish)
Lineage: Eukaryota; Metazoa; Chordata; Actinopteri; Pomacentridae
Exons: 2
Source: RefSeq, a predicted model, not a curated record